AAAUCUUUCUGUUGGUGUCGUUCUGCUGACAUCACCAUGGAUUUGGUGUUCAAGUCCACAGCCAGGCAAAACUCAAAUACAUUUUCCCUUUUGCAAGCAGCUGCACAGUGAGUUUGCCUUCCAUUAGUAAAGGAACAAUGAAGAAAAAGGAAACCCUGCGUCUAAAACAUGGGCAAUGAAAGAACGUAGGAAUGGAAGCCAAGAAUCCUGCUGUGGUAGAAGGGGGAUAGACUCAUGAAUUCUCCACAAUAAGAUAUUUUACUUCUUUUUAACAGCCCCAUCAGCAGAGAGAAAUAAUGACUCCCGAAACAUUUCAGAAUCAAAAAGUUAAAAUGAUGUUUCAAUGAUGCUACAUCGUGCCAGACGCAGGCUAAUGGUUUGAAGAUGUUGGCCUAGCAAGAUGGCAACGAGUUUAAAAAAUAGGAUUCCUAAGAAGUUACUUUUUUCAGACUUUGGAAGACUAAAGGAGCUAUUAUUUAUCUGUAAGCAUCUGUGACAAAGAAGAACCUAGAUGACAGCCACCGGAGGAGGCACAGAGAGCAGAACUGCAACGUUAAAGCAAUGAAUCCCUAAGAAGUAAGGUUAAGAGCACAAAUGCUUUGG
RNAcentral lists this long non-coding RNA (603 nucleotides) under Canis lupus dingo (dingo). RNAcentral describes it as "lncRNA (ENSCAFG00020011379.1)". Lineage: Eukaryota; Metazoa; Chordata; Mammalia; Carnivora; Canidae. The record is from RNAcentral.